UACGAAGGGGGCUAGCGUUGUUCGGAUUUACUGGGCGUAAAGCGCACGUAGGCGGAUCGUUAAGUCGGGGGUGAAAUCCUGGAGCUCAACUCCAGAACUGCCUUCGAUACUGGCGAUCUUGAGUCCGGAAGAGGUGAGUGGAACUCCUAGUGUAGAGGUGAAAUUCGUAGAUAUUCGGAAGAACACCAGUGGCGAAGGCGGCUCACUGGUCCGGUACUGACGCUGAGGUGCGAAAGCAUGGGGAGCGAACAGG
RNAcentral lists this ribosomal RNA (253 nucleotides) under uncultured bacterium. Its description in RNAcentral is "partial 16S ribosomal RNA". It matches the Rfam family "Bacterial small subunit ribosomal RNA", at positions 524 to 776 of the family's 1533-position model. The record is from RNAcentral.